RNAcentral lists this unclassified non-coding RNA (175 nucleotides) under soil metagenome. RNAcentral's name for it is "partial internal transcribed spacer 1". The record is from RNAcentral.
CAAGAAGCCGAAAGGCUACUUAAAACCAUCGCGAACUUAUCCAAGUUGCUUCGGCGGCGCGGCUCCCCUCACGGGGGACCGCAAGCCCCCGCCUCUCAGGAGGUAAGGGGCAGCCGCCGGAGGUACGAAACUCUGUAUUAUAGUGGUAUCUCUGAGUAUAAAAACAAAUAAGUUA